This 673-nucleotide ribosomal RNA is filed under the name uncultured Fusobacterium sp. Its description in RNAcentral is "bacterial SSU rRNA". It matches the Rfam family "Bacterial small subunit ribosomal RNA", at positions 86 to 776 of the family's 1533-position model. The record is from RNAcentral. Lineage: Bacteria; Fusobacteriati; Fusobacteriota; Fusobacteriia; Fusobacteriales; Fusobacteriaceae.
UAUAUUAUGGUGCGUGUCGUGUGAAAUGGCGAAUAGAAAAGGCAUCAAAAUAGGGGCCAGAUUAAGAAAAGACUGUUAAUACCUUAAUUUAUAUAUUGGAGCAUCCUUAUAAUUGAGAAAGCUGUUUGCGAUGUGAGAGAAUCUGCGUCCCAUUAGCUAGUUGGAGAGGUAACGGCUCAUCAAGCCGAUGAUGGGUAGCGGGCCUGAGAGGGUGAUCGGCCACAAGGGGACUGAGACACGGCCCUUACUCCUACGGGAGGCAGCAGUGGGGAAUAUUGGACAAUGGACCGAGAGUCUGAUCCAGCAAUUCUGUGUGCACGAUGAAGUUUUUCGGAAUGUAAAGUGCUUUCAGUUGGGAAGAAAGAAAUGACGGUACCAACAGAAGAAGUGACGGCUAAAUACGUGCCAGCAGCCGCGGUAAUACGUAUGUCACGAGCGUUAUCCGGAUUUAUUGGGCGUAAAGCGCGUCUAGGUGGUUAUAUAAGUCUGAUGUGAAAAUGCAGGGCUCAACUCUGUAUUGCGUUGGAAACUGUAUAACUAGAGUACUGGAGAGGUAAGCGGAACUACAAGUGUAGAGGUGAAAUUCGUAGAUAUUUGUAGGAAUGCCGAUGGGGAAGCCAGCUUACUGGACAGAUACUGACGCUGAAGCGCGAAAGCGUGGGUAGCAAACAGG